Molecule: ribosomal RNA, 216 nt
Filed under: Glomeromycotina sp.
Lineage: Eukaryota; Fungi; Glomeromycota
Description: partial small subunit ribosomal RNA
Rfam family: Eukaryotic small subunit ribosomal RNA (bases 44-216)
Source: RNAcentral
GGGUCAGUAGGUUGGUCGUGCCACCGGUACGUACUGGUCUCACUGAUUCCUCCUUCCUGAAGAACCGUAAUGCCAUUAAUUUGGUGUUGCGGGGAAACAGGACUGUUACUUUGAAAAAAUUAGAGUGUUUAAAGCAAGCUAACGCUUGAAUACAUUAGCAUGGAAUAACGAAAUAGGACGAUCGAUCCUAUUUUGUUGGCUUCUAGGAUUGACGUA